AACGAACGCUGGCGGCGUGGAUAAGACAUGCAAGUCGAACGGGGCAGGUAGCAAUAUCUGUCUAGUGGCGAACGGGUGCGUAACACGUGGGCAACAUGCCUGAAAGCGCGGGAUAGCCCGGGGAAACUCGGAUUAAUACCGCAUGUGACAACGGGGCGGAGUCGCUUUGUUGUUAAAGGUGGGGACCGCAAGGCCUGCCGCUUUCAGAUUGGCCCGCGGCCUAUCAGCUAGUUGGCGAGGUAAAAGCUCACCAAGGCGACGACGGGUAGCUGGUCUGAGAGGACGACCAGCCACACUGGAACUGAGACACGGUCCAGACACCUACGGGAGGCUG
This 334-nucleotide ribosomal RNA is filed under the name uncultured Verrucomicrobiota bacterium. RNAcentral's name for it is "bacterial SSU rRNA". It matches the Rfam family "Bacterial small subunit ribosomal RNA", at positions 29 to 351 of the family's 1533-position model. The record is from RNAcentral. Lineage: Bacteria; Pseudomonadati; Verrucomicrobiota.